CGGAAACCGCGUCUGGUACCCACAAUGCACCGCGGUCGUCGCAGCUGGUCUUCCUGCGUUCGAUUCUUCUUUCGACCACCUUCGAAAGCAAUGGCCGUGCAUGACGGGCGGCGGUAAGGUGUUAAAAUAGGAGUGCAGAAGGGCAUCCGGCGCCGGGAUCCGGUCGGCGGGCGCCAGCGUCAGCAUUCUCUGAACCAGGUCUUCGGUUUUGCAUGGCAGUCGACUCAACCUGAUGCCGAUCAAGAGCGAAUUGGCUUCAGCUUGGAGGGAAGGGCCCAGUCUGGAACGACAACAACAAUGACACUUGGAAGACUUUGGUCUCAUGCGCUCGUAGAAGGACGACGUCUGCAAAUUAGUAGGACGAAUAAAGGUGCGCUUGUAAAACAA
Long non-coding RNA from Hippocampus zosterae (dwarf seahorse), 387 nucleotides. RefSeq lists it as uncharacterized. The transcript is spliced from 3 exons. The record is from RefSeq and is a predicted model, not a curated record. Lineage: Eukaryota; Metazoa; Chordata; Actinopteri; Syngnathiformes; Syngnathidae.